GAAAGAGAGACAGAGACAGACAGACAGAGGGAAGCAAAGCUCACCAUUAGAGGCACACAAGCUCAACUGAUGUGGGAACUGAACUCAGAAAUCGUGAGAUCAUGACCUCAGCUGAAGUCAGAUGCGUAACGACUGAGCGACCCAGGUGCCCAAGCAUAUUUUCUUGUGCUUAUUGGCUGUCUGUGGAGGUGUCCCAA
Molecule: long non-coding RNA, 197 nt
Organism: Herpailurus yagouaroundi (jaguarundi)
Lineage: Eukaryota; Metazoa; Chordata; Mammalia; Carnivora; Felidae
Exons: 3
Source: RefSeq, a predicted model, not a curated record